RNAcentral lists this ribosomal RNA (454 nucleotides) under uncultured bacterium. Its description in RNAcentral is "partial 16S ribosomal RNA". It matches the Rfam family "Bacterial small subunit ribosomal RNA", at positions 28 to 507 of the family's 1533-position model. The record is from RNAcentral.
GAUGAACGCUGACAGAAUGCUUAACACAUGCAAGUCAACUUGAACUUCGGUUUGGGUGGCGGACGGGUGGGUAACGCGUAAAGAACUUGCCUCACAGCUAGGGACAACAUUUGGAAACGAAUGCUAAUACCUGAUAUUAUGAUUAUAUGGCAUCGUAUAAUUAUGAAAGCUAUAUGCGCUGUGAGAGAGCUUUGCGUCCCAUUAGCUAGUUGGAGAGGUAACAGCUCACCAAGGCGAUGAUGGGUAGCCGGCCUGAGAGGGUGAUCGGCCACAAGGGGACUGAGACACGGCCCUUACUCCUACGGGAGGCAGCAGUGGGGAAUAUUGGACAAUGGACCGAGAGUCUGAUCCAGCAAUUCUGUGUGCACGAUGAAGUUUUUCGGAAUGUAAAGUGCUUUCAGUUGGGAAGAAAAAAAUGACGGUACCAACAGAAGAAGUGACGGCUAAAUACGUG